GUGGGAAUCCUCGGGAAUUUUGGGGAAUUCGCGGGGAAUCCUGAGGGAUUUGUGGGGAUUUGUGGGGAAUCCAUGAGAAUUUGUGGGGAAUCCUCAGGAAUCCAUGGGAAUCCUCGGGAAUUUUGGGGAAUUCGUGGGAAUCCUGAGGGAUUUGUGGGGAAUUUUCGGGAAUCCAUGGGAAUACUUGGGAAUCCAUGGAAAUCUUCAGGAAUCUGUGGGAAUCCAAAGGAGGUUCACAGGAAUCCAUGGAAAUCCAUGGAAAUUCCCAGGAAUUCAUGGGAACCUUUGGAAAUGCUCAGGAAUCCCCAGGAAAUCCUCAGGAAUCCAUGGGAAUUUGUAGGAAUCCUCAGGAAUCCCCAAGAAUCCAUGGAAAUUCCCGAAAAUCCAUGGAAAUCCUCAGGAAUCCACAGGAAAUUCAUGGAAACCCUCAAGAAUCCGUGGAAAUCCUCGAGAAUCCGCAGAAAUCCAGGGAAAGUCACCAGAAUCCACGGGAAUCCUCGGGAAUCCACAGAAAUCCAUGGAAUUCCACGGGAAUCCUCGGGAAUCCACAGAAAUCCAUGGAAUUCCACAGGAAUCCUCGGGAAUCCACAGAAAUCCAUGGAAUUCCACGGGAAUCCUCGGGAAUUCACAGAAAUCCAUGGAAUUCCCCACCCCGAACUCCAGAUCCCGAUCCCGCGGCUCCUCCGUUAUUCCGGGUCCUCCUCCCGCUCGGCCCCGGGACAGGAAAACCGGGAAUUCCCGCGGAUUUUUGGGAAUGUCGGGGCGGCCGGAGCC
Molecule: long non-coding RNA, 774 nt
Filed under: Cyanistes caeruleus (blue tit)
Lineage: Eukaryota; Metazoa; Chordata; Aves; Passeriformes; Paridae
Description: lncRNA (ENSCCEG00000002666.1)
Source: RNAcentral